UACGCCAGUAUGGCCUUCAGAGACGCAUGCUCUUGUAUAUAGUUUUACUGAGGUUUUAAAACCCCUUCAAAAGCUUUAGACUAAUAUUGACUUAAGGUAGAUUCUCGUCUGAAGACAAUAUGAAGAAAGCUGCUAUAGCUAAAUGCUCUGUAAAGUUUGACGGUGUGACUGAUAAUAUCACACAUUUCUGAAUGCUUUCCUAAGCCUCUACAAACUACAGAAUCUGUGCAGAUCAGUAGCGUUAGGGAAACUCCUGAGUACUGAUGUACUCUUCAGAGGCACUCAUUAACAUGCUCCAAACCUAUAACCCAACCUAGGCUCAGGCACAACAUGAAACACAACAUGUUUACAAUAUGAGUACAUGGGCAUCAAGGUGGGGUUCUCACUGCAGUGUUUCUAUAGGUUGUGUUCAGUGUUUCUAUAGGUUGUGUUUCUAUAGGUUGUGUUUCUAUAGGUUGUGUUCAGUGUUUCUAAAGGUUGUGUUCAGUGUUUCUAUAGGUUGUGUUUCUAUAGGUUGUGUUCAGUGUUUCUAUAGGUGGUGUUUCUAUAGGUUGUGUUUCUAUAGGUUGUGUUCAGUGUUUCUAUAGGUUGUGUUCAGUGUUUCUAUAGGUUGUGUUCAGUGUUUCUAUAGGUUGUGUUUCUAUAGGUUGUGUUCAGUGUUUCUAUAGGUGGUGUUCAGUGUUUCUAUAGGUUGUGUUUCUAUAGGUUGUGUUCAGUGUUUCUAUAGGUUGUGUUCAGUGUUUCUAUAGGUUGUGUUUCUAUAGGUUGUGUUUCUAUAGGUUGUGUUCAGUGUUUCUAUAGGUGGUGUUCAGUGUUUCUAUAGGU
Long non-coding RNA from Clupea harengus (Atlantic herring), 825 nucleotides. RefSeq lists it as uncharacterized. The record is from RefSeq and is a predicted model, not a curated record. NCBI's taxonomy places the organism in Eukaryota, Metazoa, Chordata, Actinopteri, Clupeiformes, Clupeidae. The transcript is spliced from 3 exons.